Macaca mulatta (Rhesus monkey) is the source of this 88-nucleotide microRNA precursor. The record is from Ensembl. Lineage: Eukaryota; Metazoa; Chordata; Mammalia; Primates; Cercopithecidae.
GUUUGACCCUUGAGCAGAGGUUGCCCUUGGUGAAUUCGCUUUAUUUAUGUUGAAUCACACAAAGGCAACUUUUGUUUGAGUAUCAAAU